AGUGAACGCUGGCGGUAGGCCUAACACAUGCAAGUCGAACGGCAGCACAGGAGAGCCUGCUCUCUGGGUGGCGAGUGGCGGACGGGUGAGGAAUACAUCGGAAUCUACUCUGUCGUGGGAGAUAACGUAGGGAAACUUACGCUAAUACCGCAUACGACCUACGGGUGAAAGCAGGGGACCUUCGGGCCUUGCGCGAUUGAAUGAGCCGAUGUCGGAUUAGCUAGUUGGCGGGGUAAAGGCCCACCAAGGCGACGAUCCGUAGCUGGUCUGAGAGGAUGAUCAGCCACACUGGAACUGAGACACGGUCCAGACUCCUACAGGAGGCAGCAGUGGGGAAUAUUGGACAAUGGGCGCAAGCCUGAUCCAGCCAUACCGCGUGGGUGAAGAAGGCCUUCGGGUUGUAAAGCCCUUUUGUUGGGAAAGAAAUCCAGCUGGCUAAUACCCGGUUGGGAUGACGGUACCCAAAGAAUAAGCACCGGCUAACUUCGUGCCAGCCGCCGCAGUAA
This 506-nucleotide ribosomal RNA is filed under the name uncultured bacterium. RNAcentral's name for it is "partial 16S ribosomal RNA". It matches the Rfam family "Bacterial small subunit ribosomal RNA", at positions 29 to 523 of the family's 1533-position model. The record is from RNAcentral.